CAAGGGGUACUAUAUCUUCACAGUAUUG
Molecule: small RNA, 28 nt
Filed under: Bombyx mori (domestic silkworm)
Lineage: Eukaryota; Metazoa; Arthropoda; Insecta; Lepidoptera; Bombycidae
Description: ovarian small RNA-12845
Source: RNAcentral